This is a non-coding RNA of Misgurnus anguillicaudatus (oriental weatherfish), 2587 nucleotides long. The record is from RefSeq and is a predicted model, not a curated record. NCBI's taxonomy places the organism in Eukaryota, Metazoa, Chordata, Actinopteri, Cypriniformes, Cobitidae.
AGUUUAUGGAAUUACAUUUGUGUCAAAUUAAACGCACGCAACUUUUGCAAAAACAAACAAAAAUAUACAUUGAUAAAAGAAAAAAACUAUCUGAAAAUAAAAACAAUCAACUAACUAGCAAAAAAAUUAACAUCAUCUUUAAAUAUACUGCAUUCUUUGUUUAUAGUUUUCUAAGUUUCACUUUCACUAAAUAUAGUUUUGAAUGUGCUGCAAAUGUUUUCGUUUUCACUUUCCAAUUUUUUGUUUGCGCUUCGCAAAUUUACGUUCUCCAUUUUGACACAAACCUCUCGUGAGGGGCGGGCUUAACAGCGGUUCGCUCUUAUUGGCUUGUGAGAUUUUGAUUGACAGCUCAUUGAACCGGAACCCCGGAACAGAAGGUGGCGGUAGUGCGCCAAUAAGCUGGAUCCCAACCACUGUUAAAAAUAACAAGAAGAAGACGAUCGGACGCUGUUUAUCAGCGGAGCUGCAAGUAGUCUAAACAAACGGUAAUAAGAGUAUAUUAAAGAACAUUAUUGAUAAUACAAGGAUAUUUUACACGUCAGCAGAGGAAUUACAAUAGUUCAAGAUGAGUAAUCGAGAGGCUCACGGUCCGGAGCACCAACACCAUCCUCCUCGGCCGGACAAUCGAGGCAGCCUGAGGUAAGUUUGUAAUAACUAUCAAAAUAAAUAGAAUAAUCCCACUGCAAGAUUUAUUCAUGUGUGAAGGCUGCAACAGUUGUGUUAAACUGUAUAUGAAUGGUAUUGCAUUUCUCAAAGCAGAGCAAAGAUCGUUAUGUAAAAGACCCAUUUGUUCCAUAGUCUACUUUGGCACAUUUAGGCUUACAAUGGAUAUGUGAAACGCAAAGAUAAUGAUCUUUCUUUAAUUGUGGUUAGGCAAACAAUUCUAUCUUUAUUAUUGUCCAUAAAAAACAAAUGUAAGAUUUUAGCCUAAUUCCGCUUUUUAUUUUAUAUUACUUAUCAGGACCAAAGAGUGUAAUUUCUCCAGGUAGGCACUGAACCAGUUCAUGUUGUUCUCUGUAUAUAAAAUACCAAUUUAAAGGGGCUUUGGUAAAUUUUUAGGUUUUUUUAGUUUAUGUUUUUAUUAGAUUUGAAAUGUAACGAGUUCAGCAUAGAAUUCAUGUUAGCUAUUUCUACAAGAACAAGUGUGAGAACAUAUUUUGCAGCGAAUGUUUAGUUUAAAUCAAUUUUAAUUCAAAUCAAUUAAUCUUUAAUGCACGUUUACAAGAGCACUGCAAGGUUAAAAUGAAGCCUUGAAAGGGGUAGUAAUGUUUGCUGUUACUGGUGGGACAGAAAGCUCUCUUUGAAAAGAUAACAUUUUAAAGAUCUUUACUUGUGUUCAGAAGAUGAACCAAAGUCUUAAGGGUUUGGAACGACAUGAUGGUGAGUAAAUGACGACAGAAUUGUCUUAUUUAGGCGUAUUAGCAGCACUCUAAAAAUGCAUAUCUGCACCACAUCUGGUGGUAUUCAGCCUACCUGCCCUUAAUGUAGGAAUGCCACUAAUUUGGUUUCCAUAAUACUUCACAUGAUGAUUUACUAUGGACAGACAUUGCUUUUUUAUAAGCUACGAUUUGACCAUACUUUUCUCUUUUUUUUUUUAGAAUUGAGCCUCUAUGGUGUGAUGUUUGGUCAGCUGUCUCUUGUACUAUGAAGAACUGCAAUGGAAGAAGAGACAGUGCUUGAUUCGGCAGGUGAACUGCACAUAUUUUAUGGUGGAGCAACUUUUUUAAGAGGAAAUUGUUGACAAUGUCACAGAGGAUGAUGGUGUGGUCGUGGUGCCAGAGAUCUAUUGUCCUUUGUCAGACCAAAAGCCUUUGAUAUCACCAUUGAAUGUCUAGGAGUUAUACCAACAGACACUUGAUGUCAUCCAAAGACUGUGCUCCAUUUAAAUUGUAAAAGUCAUUUUCAGGUUUACAAGAUACAAAAGCUGGUUCACAGAUGUACCUUUCCUUUAAAACUAUUUCCCACCUGUAAUCACAAUGGAGACACAUCUCUGACUGCUGGGCUUCCCCUCUUAUUGUGUCCAGAUUCAUAUGCAUCUGCAGGGUUAUUCAUGGCAACACUUUAUAGCGUUGUGCUGGUAAUUUAUCUUUAUAUAUCAUGCCUUCUCACUACAUCUGUCAGCCUGUGCUUUACAUAUCUGAGAGUCAACGCAGCUAAACAUGAAGGACAAAUGCAAUGCAAGACGUUAUGCAUGUUAUAUAUCGGCAUAUGGAUGAUUAGAUUAGAAACUUUUGUGUGUUUAAACAUCACAUGACAUAGAAAAUUGACUGUCCUCCAUUUUCCUCCUUAGAUUUAAUUUGUACUUUAGACGUCAAUGGGUACACUCUCAUGUGUGCUUACCAUCAUUUAUCAAAAUAUCUUCUCAGCAGAAUAAAGAAACUUAAAUAGGUUUACAACAACAUGAGACUGAGUAAAUAAUAACAGAAUUUUCAUUUUUGUGUGAACUAUCCCUUUAAGACUCUGUAAACCAUUCAGAUGCAUGUAAAAUCAUUAACAACUGUUAAACAGCAUCUAUAAAUGAUAAAAAAGACAUUACUAUUGGGAGAAACAUUUUGUCUAGACAUUUGAGUUCAUUUCAACUGACACU